CCCUUAGAUGCUCUGGGCCGCACGCGCGCUACACUGGUCGAUGCAACGAGUUUCUUUCCUUGGCCGACAGGCCUGGGCAAUCUUUGAACAUCGAUCGUGAUCGGGAUAGAUUCUUGUAAUUUUUGAUCUUAAACGAGGAAUUCCUAGUAAACGCAAGUCAUCAGCUUGCAUUGAUUACGUCCCUGCCCUUUGUACACACCGCCCGUCGCACCUACCGAUUGAAUGGUCCGGUGAAAUCUUCGGAUUGAGACUUUGUUUUCUUCACGGAAAACGCUGUUUUAAAAAGUUGAUUAAACCUUACCAUUUAGAGGAAGGUGAAGUCGUAACA
Molecule: ribosomal RNA, 328 nt
Filed under: uncultured eukaryote
Lineage: Eukaryota
Description: partial 18S ribosomal RNA
Rfam family: Eukaryotic small subunit ribosomal RNA
Source: RNAcentral